Molecule: ribosomal RNA, 433 nt
Filed under: uncultured bacterium
Lineage: Bacteria
Description: partial 16S ribosomal RNA
Rfam family: Bacterial small subunit ribosomal RNA
Source: RNAcentral
AGCGAACGCUGGCGGCAGGCCUAACACAUGCAAGUCGAACGAACCUUUCGGGGUUAGUGGCGGACGGGUGAGUAACACGUGGGAACGUGCCUUUAGGUUCGGAAUAACUCAGGGAAACUUGUGCUAAUACCGAAUGUGCCCUUCGGGGGAAAGAUUAAUCGCCUUUAGAGCGGCCCGCGUCUGAUUAGCUAGUUGGUUGAGGUAAUGGCUCACCAAGGCGACGAUCAGUAGCUGGUCUGAGAGGGUGAUCAGCCACAUUGGGACUGAGACACGGCCCAAACUCCUACGGGAGGCAGCAGUGGGGAAUCUUGCGCAAUGGGCGAAAGCCUGACGCAGCCAUGCCGCGUGAAUGAUGAAGGUCUUAGGAUUGUAAAAUUCUUUCACCGGGGACGAUAAUGACGGUACCCGGAGAAGAAGCCCCGGCUAACUUCGU